GGGUUGUGAGGUUAAGCGACUAAGCGUACACGGUGGAUGCCCUGGCAGUCAGAGGCGAUGAAGGACGUGCUAAUCUGCGAUAAGCGUCGGUAAGGUGAUAUGAACCGUUAUAACCGGCGAUUUCCGAAUGGGGAAACCCAGUGUGUUUCGACACACUAUCAUUAACUGAAUCCAUAGGUUAAUGAGGCGAACCGGGGGAACUGAAACAUCUAAGUACCCCGAGGAAAAGAAAUCAACCGAGAUUCCCCCAGUAGCGGCGAGCGAACGGGGAGGAGCCCAGAGCCUGAAUCAGUGUGUGUGUUAGUGGAAGCGUCUGGAAAGGCGCGCGAUACAGGGUGACAGCCCCGUACACAAAAAUGCACAUAUUGUGAGCUCGAUGAGUAGGGCGGGACACGUGGUAUCCUGUCUGAAUAUGGGGGGACCAUCCUCCAAGGCUAAAUACUCCUGACUGACCGAUAGUGAACCAGUACCGUGAGGGAAAGGCGAAAAGAACCCCGGCGAGGGGAGUGAAAAAGAACCUGAAACCGUGUACGUACAAGCAGUGGGAGCACAGAGCAAUCUGUGUGACUGCGUACCUUUUGUAUAAUGGGUCAGCGACUUAUAUUCUGUAGCAAGGUUAACCGAAUAGGGGAGCCGAAGGGAAACCGAGUCUUAACUGGGCGUUAAGUUGCAGGGUAUAGACCCGAAACCCGGUGAUCUAGCCAUGGGCAGGUUGAAGGUUGGGUAACACUAACUGGAGGACCGAACCGACUAAUGUUGAAAAAUUAGCGGAUGACUUGUGGCUGGGGGUGAAAGGCCAAUCAAACCGGGAGAUAGCUGGUUCUCCCCGAAAGCUAUUUAGGUAGCGCCUCGUGAAUUCAUCUCCGGGGGUAGAGCACUGUUUCGGCAAGGGGGUCAUCCCGACUUACCAACCCGAUGCAAACUGCGAAUACCGGAGAAUGUUAUCACGGGAGACACACGGCGGGUGCUAACGUCCGUCGUGAAGAGGGAAACAACCCAGACCGCCAGCUAAGGUCCCAAAGUCAUGGUUAAGUGGGAAACGAUGUGGGAAGGCCCAGACAGCCAGGAUGUUGGCUUAGAAGCAGCCAUCAUUUAAAGAAAGCGUAAUAGCUCACUGGUCGAGUCGGCCUGCGCGGAAGAUGUAACGGGGCUAAACCAUGCACCGAAGCUGCGGCAGCGACACUGUGUGUUGUUGGGUAGGGGAGCGUUCUGUAAGCCUGUGAAGGUGUACUGUGAGGUAUGCUGGAGGUAUCAGAAGUGCGAAUGCUGACAUAAGUAACGAUAAAGCGGGUGAAAAGCCCGCUCGCCGGAAGACCAAGGGUUCCUGUCCAACGUUAAUCGGGGCAGGGUGAGUCGACCCCUAAGGCGAGGCCGAAAGGCGUAGUCGAUGGGAAACAGGUUAAUAUUCCUGUACUUGGUGUUACUGCGAAGGGGGGACGGAGAAGGCUAUGUUGGCCGGGCGACGGUUGUCCCGGUUUAAGCGUGUAGGCUGGUUUUCCAGGCAAAUCCGGAAAAUCAAGGCUGAGGCGUGAUGACGAGGCACUACGGUGCUGAAGCAACAAAUGCCCUGCUUCCAGGAAAAGCCUCUAAGCAUCAGGUAACAUCAAAUCGUACCCCAAACCGACACAGGUGGUCAGGUAGAGAAUACCAAGGCGCUUGAGAGAACUCGGGUGAAGGAACUAGGCAAAAUGGUGCCGUAACUUCGGGAGAAGGCACGCUGAUAUGUAGGUGAAGUCCCUCGCGGAUGGAGCUGAAAUCAGUCGAAGAUACCAGCUGGCUGCAACUGUUUAUUAAAAACACAGCACUGUGCAAACACGAAAGUGGACGUAUACGGUGUGACGCCUGCCCGGUGCCGGAAGGUUAAUUGAUGGGGUCAGCGCAAGCGAAGCUCUUGAUCGAAGCCCCGGUAAACGGCGGCCGUAACUAUAACGGUCCUAAGGUAGCGAAAUUCCUUGUCGGGUAAGUUCCGACCUGCACGAAUGGCGUAAUGAUGGCCAGGCUGUCUCCACCCGAGACUCAGUGAAAUUGAACUCGCUGUGAAGAUGCAGUGUACCCGCGGCAAGACGGAAAGACCCCGUGAACCUUUACUAUAGCUUGACACUGAACAUUGAGCCUUGAUGUGUAGGAUAGGUGGGAGGCUUUGAAGUGUGGACGCCAGUCUGCAUGGAGCCGACCUUGAAAUACCACCCUUUAAUGUUUGAUGUUCUAACGUUGACCCGUAAUCCGGGUUGCGGACAGUGUCUGGUGGGUAGUUUGACUGGGGCGGUCUCCUCCUAAAGAGUAACGGAGGAGCACGAAGGUUGGCUAAUCCUGGUCGGACAUCAGGAGGUUAGUGCAAUGGCAUAAGCCAGCUUGACUGCGAGCGUGACGGCGCGAGCAGGUGCGAAAGCAGGUCAUAGUGAUCCGGUGGUUCUGAAUGGAAGGGCCAUCGCUCAACGGAUAAAAGGUACUCCGGGGAUAACAGGCUGAUACCGCCCAAGAGUUCAUAUCGACGGCGGUGUUUGGCACCUCGAUGUCGGCUCAUCACAUCCUGGGGCUGAAGUAGGUCCCAAGGGUAUGGCUGUUCGCCAUUUAAAGUGGUACGCGAGCUGGGUUUAGAACGUCGUGAGACAGUUCGGUCCCUAUCUGCCGUGGGCGCUGGAGAACUGAGGGGGGCUGCUCCUAGUACGAGAGGACCGGAGUGGACGCAUCACUGGUGUUCGGGUUGUCAUGCCAAUGGCACUGCCCGGUAGCUAAAUGCGGAAGAGAUAAGUGCUGAAAGCAUCUAAGCACGAAACUUGCCCCGAGAUGAGUUCUCCCUGACUCCUUGAGAGUCCUGAAGGAACGUUGAAGACGACGACGUUGAUAGGCCGGGUGUGUAAGCGCAGCGAUGCGUUGAGCUAACCGGUACUAAUGAACCGUGAGGCUUAACCUUACAACGCCGAAGGUGUUU
RNAcentral lists this ribosomal RNA (2932 nucleotides) under Escherichia coli O55:H7. Its description in RNAcentral is "23S ribosomal RNA". It matches the Rfam family "Bacterial large subunit ribosomal RNA". The record is from RNAcentral. Lineage: Bacteria; Pseudomonadati; Pseudomonadota; Gammaproteobacteria; Enterobacterales; Enterobacteriaceae.